This 469-nucleotide long non-coding RNA is filed under the name Helianthus annuus (common sunflower). Lineage: Eukaryota; Viridiplantae; Streptophyta; Magnoliopsida; Asterales; Asteraceae. The record is from RNAcentral.
CCAAAGCCACCAUGCAAGAAAAGGGUGAGAGAAUGACUGCACAUGACCCGACUCGAAAGGAGAUGGCAACGAAGAAAAAGGAGGCUAUAAUAAAUCAAGCAUAGUAUGAGAAACAGGUGGCAAGCAAGCAAAAUGCCACGCAGAGACUGGUGACUGAAGCCGUUGAGACGCACUCCUACUUUGCCACCAGAGCCACUGCCCACUGGCAAUCCUAUGGGGAGCCACCAGAUGUCAUCCUUGCUGGGACAUGGAACCGAAGCGCCUGUUGGUAGUGUUGUGGAAGGAGUUGUUGGGUCUCACCCAAUUGGAAGGGACAUGGGCACCGAUACCACUCUGGCUGGGCAUAACACGAAAACUGGUGGUGGAGGUGCUGGUGGAUAUAGCUCUAAGGGAGUGUAGCAUUGAUUUAAUUCAAGUUUGAUGUAAAUCUUUUCGUUUGCCAUCUAUGUGGUUAAAUAAUUAAAUUAAU